This 664-nucleotide ribosomal RNA is filed under the name Salmonella enterica subsp. enterica serovar Braenderup. RNAcentral's name for it is "partial 23S ribosomal RNA". It matches the Rfam family "Bacterial large subunit ribosomal RNA", at positions 1141 to 1920 of the family's 2925-position model. Lineage: Bacteria; Pseudomonadati; Pseudomonadota; Gammaproteobacteria; Enterobacterales; Enterobacteriaceae. The record is from RNAcentral.
CUGGUCUAAAUAAGGGUCUUUGCGCCUAAAAUGUAACGGGGCUAAAGCCAUACACCGAAGCUUUGGGUGCAUAGCAAUAUGCGCGGUAGCGGAGCGUUCUGUAGGCCUGUGAAGGGAGACCCGUGAGGGCUCCUGGAGGUAUCAGAAGUGCGAAUGCUGACAUGAGUAACGUAAGGAGUGUGAGAGACACUCCCGCCGAAAGACCAAGGGUUCCUGCUUAAAGUUAAUCUGAGCAGGGUUAGCCGGACCCUAAGGCGAGGCCGAAAGGCGUAGUCGAUGGGAAUCACGUUAAUAUUCGUGAGCCUGCAGGUAGUGACGGAUCAUCAAGGUAGUUCAUUCUUAUUGGAUUGAAUGGGCUGCUGCGUGGUUCCAGGAAAUAGCUCCUGCUUAUAGUCCGUACCCGAAACCGACACUGGUGGUCUGGUAGAGUAUACCAAGGCGCUUGAGAGAACUAUGCUGAAGGAACUCGGCAAAUUGCACGCGUAACUUCGGAAGAAGCGUGACCCCUUAGUACGCAAGUAUUGGGGGGUGGCACAGACCAGGGGGUAGCGACUGUUUAUCAAAAACACAGGGCUCUGCGAAGCCGCAAGGCGACGUAUAGGGUCUGACGCCUGCCCGGUGCUGGAAGGUUAAGAGGAGAGGUGCAAGCUUUGAAUCGAAGCCC